This is a small nuclear RNA of Antechinus flavipes (yellow-footed antechinus), 107 nucleotides long. The record is from RefSeq and is a predicted model, not a curated record. Lineage: Eukaryota; Metazoa; Chordata; Mammalia; Dasyuromorphia; Dasyuridae.
GUGCUCGCUUCGGCAGCACAUAUACUAAAAGUGGAACGAUACAGGGAAGAUUAGCACGGUCUCUGCGCAAGGAUGACACGCAAAUUUGUGAAGUGUUCCAUUAAAAA